Molecule: long non-coding RNA, 808 nt
Filed under: Homo sapiens (human)
Lineage: Eukaryota; Metazoa; Chordata; Mammalia; Primates; Hominidae
Description: HSALNT0104037
Source: RNAcentral
ACACCUGAUGCUUCUUUAUAUGUAUAAUGGCUGACCCUGGCGGGACUUCCUUCUCCACUUGUGUGUUGAUGUCCACUGUGGUGGAGGCUUGGCUUCUCUCCAGGUGGAUCCCAGAUGUGCCAAAGUCAGCGCUGCUGAGACUUCUUCCUCGUCAUCUGUAUCGCUGUUGAUAACCAUGGAAGCUUGGCUUUUCUCCAGAGGGACAGCCUGUGGGGCCUUGCCUUCUUCCACAUCUGUAUCACUACCAGCCUGGCUCUCCUGCAGAUGGGCCAGGCCUGGUGCUCCAGGACCCCUUGUACCUACUCCAUGGAAGAUCUUCCUCUUCUUCAUAGGAAUGACAACUGGGGUUGCUGGGAUCCUCUCUUCUUCCGCAUCAGUGUCGCUGUCGAUGAAGCCAAAAGGCUGAGCCCUUUCCAAAUGGACCUCAGCUGGCCUUCCAGGAGGCCUGCUGUCAUCAUCCACAUCUGUGUCACUGUCCUCUCCAGGAGGUUGGCUCCUCUCCAGAAUCACCCCAGCUGGAACCACCCCAUUCCCUGCACCCCUCUUGACUUUUGUAUCAUUGUCCCUCUCCUUCACUAAAGGCUGAUCCUUUUCAAGCUGGAUUUCAGUUACAACUUCAGCUUCAGACUGCUUUGCCUCUACAGUGGCACCUCUUCUGGCAGCUGAGGAGGCCUCCUCUGUGGCUGGUUGCUGACCUUCUUCCACAUCUGUGUCACUGUUCAAAUUGAAGGCAAAAGGCGGCCCAAGGCCGCCCAGGACCGGGGAAUGCCCCUCUUCAUCACUGUGAAGGGAAGAAAAGAGAGUCUAU